GCAGGGAUAACCAAGUUGGCCAACGGUGCCGGACUCUUUUGGGAAAAAAUAAUUCUCAUUAGCUGGAUUCAAGAUCUUUUAAUUUAACAUCCGUUAGAGUCAAUAAUUUCUGAUGAGAUAUCCGGUGAGAUAGCUCUUCGUGGGUUCGAAUCCCACUCCCUGCA
RNAcentral lists this transfer RNA (164 nucleotides) under marine sediment metagenome. RNAcentral's name for it is "tRNA-Lys". It matches the Rfam family "tRNA". From Rfam's summary of the family: Transfer RNA (tRNA) molecules are approximately 80 nucleotides in length. The record is from RNAcentral.